UGGGGAAUCUUGCACAAUGGAGGAAACUCUGAUGCAGCGACGCCGCGUGGACGACGAAGCCCUUCGGGGUGUAAAGUCCUUUCGACCGGAACGAUAAUGACGGUACCGGUGGAAGAAGCUGCGGCUAACUACGUGCCAGCAGCCGCGGUAAUACGUAGGCAGCAAGCGUUGUUCGGAAUUACUGGGCGUAAAGAGUUCGUAGGCGGUGCGGCAAGUUUGGUGUGAAAUCUCCCGGCUCAACUGGGAGGGUGCGCUAAAUACUGCCGUGCUCGAGUAUAGGAGAGGUAAGCGGAAUUCCUGGUGUAGCGGUGAAAUGCGUAGAUAUCAGGAGGAACACCUGUGGUGUAGACGGCUUACUGGACUAUAACUGACGCUGAGGAACGAAAGCGUGGGUAGCAAACA
Molecule: ribosomal RNA, 402 nt
Filed under: uncultured Bryobacter sp.
Lineage: Bacteria; Pseudomonadati; Acidobacteriota; Terriglobia; Bryobacterales; Bryobacteraceae
Description: bacterial SSU rRNA
Rfam family: Bacterial small subunit ribosomal RNA
Source: RNAcentral